AACGUAGGUGGCGAGCGUUAUCCGGAUUCAUUGGGCGUAAGGCGCUUGUAGGCGGCCUUGUAAGUUGGACGUGAAAUCUCCCGGCUUAACCGGGCGGGGUCGUUCAAUACUGCAGGGCUGGAGGAUGUCAGAGGGCAGCGGAAUUCCUGGUGUAGCAGUGAAAUGCGUAGAUAUCAGGAGGAACACCGGUGGCGAAGGCGGCAUCCUGGACCGGUAUUGACGCUGAGGCGCGAAAGCUAGGGGAGCAAACGGG
This 253-nucleotide ribosomal RNA is filed under the name uncultured bacterium. Its description in RNAcentral is "partial 16S ribosomal RNA". It matches the Rfam family "Bacterial small subunit ribosomal RNA", at positions 524 to 776 of the family's 1533-position model. The record is from RNAcentral.